Molecule: ribosomal RNA, 440 nt
Filed under: uncultured Alphaproteobacteria bacterium
Lineage: Bacteria; Pseudomonadati; Pseudomonadota; Alphaproteobacteria
Description: bacterial SSU rRNA
Rfam family: Bacterial small subunit ribosomal RNA
Source: RNAcentral
CCUACGGGUGGCUGCAGUGGGGAAUAUUGGACAAUGGGGGCAACCCUGAUCCAGCAAUGCCGCGUGGGUGAUGAAGGCCUUCGGGUUGUAAAGCCCUUUCGGCGGGGACGAUGAUGACGGUACCCGCAGAAGAAGCCCCGGCUAACUUCGUGCCAGCAGCCGCGGUAAUACGAAGGGGGCUAGCGUUGUUCGGAAUGACUGGGCGUAAAGGGCGCGUAGGCGGCGAUUUUAGUCAGGCGUGAAAGCCCUGGGCUCAACCUAGGAACUGCGUUUGAUACUGGAUCGCUUGAGUGUGGGAGAGGAUGGUGGAAUUCCCAGUGUAGAGGUGAAAUUCGUAGAUAUUGGGAAGAACACCGGUGGCGAAGGCGGCCAUCUGGACCACUACUGACGCUGAGGCGCGAAAGCGUGGGGAGCAAACAGGAUUAGAUACCCCGGUAGUC